CUGGAAUCGCUAGUAAUCGCAGGUCAGCAUACUGCGGUGAAUACGUUCCCGGGUCUUGUACACACCGCCCGUCACACCAUGGGAGCCGGAAAUGCCCGAAGCCAGUGACCCAACCUUAGGGAGGGAGCUGUCGAAGGUGGAGCCGGUAACUGGGGUGAAGUCGUAACAAGGUAAC
RNAcentral lists this ribosomal RNA (175 nucleotides) under uncultured bacterium. Its description in RNAcentral is "partial 16S ribosomal RNA". It matches the Rfam family "Bacterial small subunit ribosomal RNA", at positions 1326 to 1500 of the family's 1533-position model. The record is from RNAcentral.